UAAGACGAACCGUGCGAACGUUGUUCGGAAUCACUGGGCUUAAAGGGCGCGUAGGCGGGCCGGUAAGUCCGGGGUGAAAGCCCCCAGCUCAACUGGGGAAGCGCCUUGGAUACUGCCGGCCUCGAGGGGGGUAGGGGCGUGCGGAACUUCCGGUGGAGCGGUGAAAUGCGUAGAUAUCGGAAGGAACACCGGUGGCGAAAGCGGCGCGCUGGACCCCCACUGACGCUGAGGCGCGAAAGCCAGGGGAGCAAACGGGAUUAGAUACCCCGGUAGUCCUGGCCCUAAACGUUGGGUACUAGGUUGUGGACUUUUGUGGGUUCACAGCCGAAGCAAAAGUGUUAAGUACCCCGCCUGGGGAGUAUGGUCGCAAGGCUG
This 375-nucleotide ribosomal RNA is filed under the name uncultured bacterium. Its description in RNAcentral is "bacterial SSU rRNA". It matches the Rfam family "Bacterial small subunit ribosomal RNA", at positions 521 to 896 of the family's 1533-position model. The record is from RNAcentral.